This 75-nucleotide transfer RNA is filed under the name Bacteroidales bacterium. Its description in RNAcentral is "tRNA-Arg". It matches the Rfam family "tRNA". Rfam says of the family: Transfer RNA (tRNA) molecules are approximately 80 nucleotides in length. Their secondary structure includes four short double-helical elements and three loops (D, anti-codon, and T loops). Further hydrogen bonds mediate the characteristic L-shaped molecular structure. tRNAs have two regions of fundamental functional importance: the anti-codon, which is responsible for specific mRNA codon recognition, and the 3' end, to which the tRNAs corresponding amino acid is attached (by aminoacyl-tRNA synthetases). tRNAs cope with the degeneracy of the genetic code in two manners: having more than one tRNA (with a specific anti-codon) for a particular amino acid; and 'wobble' base-pairing, i.e. permitting non-standard base-pairing at the 3rd anti-codon position. The record is from RNAcentral. Lineage: Bacteria; Pseudomonadati; Bacteroidota; Bacteroidia; Bacteroidales.
GCCCCUAUAGUUUAAUGGAUAGAAUUUCAGAUUCCGGUUCUGACGGUUGCGGUUCGAUUCCGCAUGGGGGUACGA